UGAGGAAUAUUGGUCAAUGGGCGAUAGCCUGAACCAGCCAAGUAGCGUGAAGGAUGAAGGCUCUAUGGGUCAUAAACUUCUUUUAUAUAAGAAUAAAGUGCAGUAUGUAUACUGUUUUGUAUGUAUUAUAUGAAUAAGGAUCGGCUAACUCCGUGCCAGCAGCCGCGGUAAUACGGAGGAUCCGAGCGUUAUCCGGAUUUAUUGGGUUUAAAGGGAGCGUAGGUGGACUGGUAAGUCAGUUGUGAAAGUUUGCGGCUCAACCGUAAAAUUGCAGUUGAUACUGUCAGUCUUGAGUACAGUAGAGGUGGGCGGAAUUCGUGGUGUAGCGGUGAAAUGCUUAGAUAUCACGAAGAACUCCGAUUGCGAAGGCAGCUCACUGGACUGCAACUGACACUGAUGCUCGAAAGUGUGGGUAUCAAACAGG
This 424-nucleotide ribosomal RNA is filed under the name Fusobacteriota bacterium. Its description in RNAcentral is "Fusobacteria bacterium partial 16S ribosomal RNA". It matches the Rfam family "Bacterial small subunit ribosomal RNA", at positions 355 to 776 of the family's 1533-position model. The record is from RNAcentral. Lineage: Bacteria; Fusobacteriati; Fusobacteriota.